This 433-nucleotide ribosomal RNA is filed under the name uncultured bacterium. Its description in RNAcentral is "partial 16S ribosomal RNA". It matches the Rfam family "Bacterial small subunit ribosomal RNA", at positions 29 to 507 of the family's 1533-position model. The record is from RNAcentral.
AACGAACGCUGGCGGCAUGCCUAACACAUGCAAGUCGAACGAGACCUUCGGGUCUAGUGGCGCACGGGUGCGUAACGCGUGGGAACCUGCCUUUAGGUUCGGAAUAACUCACAGAAAUUUGAGCUAAUACCGGAUGAUGUCUUCGGACCAAAGAUUUAUCGCCUUUAGAUGGGCCCGCGUUGGAUUAGCUAGUUGGUAGGGUAAAGGCCUACCAAGGCGACGAUCCAUAGCUGGUCUGAGAGGAUGAUCAGCCACACUGGGACUGAGACACGGCCCAGACUCCUACGGGAGGCAGCAGUGGGGAAUAUUGGACAAUGGGCGAAAGCCUGAUCCAGCAAUGCCGCGUGAGUGAUGAAGGCCUUAGGGUUGUAAAGCUCUUUUACCCGAGAUGAUAAUGACAGUAUCGGGAGAAUAAGCUCCGGCUAACUCCGUG